UUUUAAUUUCAUAUACGUGUUUAGUUUUUGAUGUAUAGCUUCUACUCUUUUGGACCAUCCGAAAACACCAAAUGUCUAGUAUUUUGACUAAAGUCGCGUGACCAUUUAGCGUGUGGAGCGAAUUAGGGUUUUGAAUUUUGGUAAUUGCGAUGACAAACAACAAGUCAUUCAUUCAGAAUUGGACUGGCAACAGAGUGACAUGUCGGAACUGGUUCUAAUUGAGUUUGAAAGGUCUUACUGUUUUCCAUGAUCAAGUACGUGCAUGCUAUUAACUUUUAUACAGAUUCUAUUUUUCAUGGUUAACAAGUGUUGCAGGAAUUUUCAUCUGAUAUGGGAAGUCGUACAGUCAAGCUGAUCCGUGAUGUUUCAAGGCUUCGUACACACCAAUUUCCAUAGGAUGCUUGUCCUAUGGCUCACUCCGUUAGGCCUCACUCUUACAUCAAGGUUUAACCUCAUCCCCGUUGUCCUUUAUUUCUCAUAGGUUCAUGCUUAGUAGGCGUCUUUUUGCGAUAAAUUCAUACUUCAUGAUGAUUAUUACUUUUUGUUGAUU
Helianthus annuus (common sunflower) is the source of this 550-nucleotide long non-coding RNA. RefSeq lists it as uncharacterized. Lineage: Eukaryota; Viridiplantae; Streptophyta; Magnoliopsida; Asterales; Asteraceae. The transcript has 3 exons. The record is from RefSeq and is a predicted model, not a curated record.